CCUACGGGAGGCAGCAGUAGGGAAUUUUCGUCAAUGGGCGCAAGCCUGAACGAGCGAUGCCGCGUGAGUGAAGAAGGCCUUCGGGUCGUAAAGCUCUGUUUCUGGGGAAAAAAGGCAGCAUCAGUAAAUGUUUUCUGACUGAUGGUGCCCCUCCAGAAAGUCCCGGCUAACUACGGGCCAGCAGCCGCGGUAAUACGUAGGUGGCGAGCGUUAUCCGGAAUGAUUGGGCGUAAAGGGUGCGCAGGCGGUCCUGCAAGUCUGGAGUGAAACACAUGAGCUCAACUCAUGCAUGGCUUUGGAAACUGGAGGACUGGAGAGCAGGAGAGGGUGGUGGAACUCCAUGUGUAGCGGUAAAAUGCGUAGAUAUAUGGAAGAACACCAGUGGCGAAGGCGGCCGCCUGGACUGUGGCUGACGCUGAGGCACGAAAGCGUGGGGAGCAAAUAGGAUUAGAUACCCGAGUAGUC
This 465-nucleotide ribosomal RNA is filed under the name uncultured bacterium. RNAcentral describes it as "partial 16S ribosomal RNA". It matches the Rfam family "Bacterial small subunit ribosomal RNA", at positions 338 to 795 of the family's 1533-position model. The record is from RNAcentral.